AACGAACGCUGGCGGCAGGCCUAACACAUGCAAGUCGAGCGAGGACUUCGGUUCUAGCGGCGGACGGGUGAGUAACGCGUGGGAAUGUGCCCUUCUCUACGGAAUAGCCCUGGGAAACUGGGAGUAAUACCGUAUACGCCCUUUUGGGGAAAGAUUUAUCGGAGAAGGAUCAGCCCGCGUUGGAUUAGGUAGUUGGUGGGGUAAUGGCCUACCAAGCCGACGAUCCAUAGCUGGUUUGAGAGGAUGAUCAGCCACACUGGGACUGAGACACGGCUCAGACUCCUACGGGAGGCAGCAGUGGGGAAUCUUAGACAAUGGGGGCAACCCUGAUCUAGCCAUGCCGCGUGAGUGAUGAAGGCCUUAGGGUUGUAAAGCUCUUUCAGCUGGGAAGAUAAUGACGGUACCAGCAGAAGAAGCCCUGGCUAACUCCGU
Molecule: ribosomal RNA, 432 nt
Filed under: uncultured bacterium
Lineage: Bacteria
Description: partial 16S ribosomal RNA
Rfam family: Bacterial small subunit ribosomal RNA
Source: RNAcentral